Molecule: ribosomal RNA, 253 nt
Filed under: uncultured bacterium
Lineage: Bacteria
Description: partial 16S ribosomal RNA
Rfam family: Bacterial small subunit ribosomal RNA
Source: RNAcentral
UACGUAGGGGGCAAGCGUUGUCCGGAAUUACUGGGCGUAAAGGGCUUGUAGGUGGCCAACUAAGUCAGACGUGAAAUCCCUCGGCUUAACCGGGGAACUGCGUCUGAUACUGGACGGCUUGAGUGUGGGAGAGGGAUGCGGAAUUCCAGGUGUAGCGGUGAAAUGCGUAGAUAUCUGGAGGAACACCGGUGGCGAAGGCGGCAUCCUGGACCAUUACUGACACUGAAAAGCGAAAGCCAGGGGAGCAAACGGG